GUCGAGCGAACAGAUGAGGAGCUUGCUCCUUAAGAUGUUAGCGGCGGACGGGUGAGUAACACGUGGGCAACCUGCCCUAUAGUUUGGGAUAACUCGCGGAAACGUGAGCUAAUACCGAAUAAUACAUUCCAUCUCCUGAUGGGAUGUUGAAAGAUGGUUUUUCGCUAUCGCUAUAGGAUGGGCCCGCGGCGCAUUAGCUAGUAGGUGAGGUAACGGCUCACCUAGGCAACGAUGCGUAGCCGACCUGAGAGGGUGAUCGGCCACACUGGGACUGAGACACGGCCCAGACUCCUACGGGAGGCAGCAGUAGGGAAUCUUCCACAAUGGACGAAAGUCUGAUGGAGCAACGCCGCGUGAGUGAAGAAGGUUUUCGGAUCGUAAAACUCUGUUGUAAGGGAAGAACAAGUACAGUAGUAACUGGCUGUACCUUGACGGUACCUUAUUAGAAAGCCACGGCUAACUACGUGCCAGCAGCCGCGGUAAUACGUAGGUGGCAAGCGUUGUCCGGAAUUAUUGGGCGUAAAGCGCGCGCGGGCGGUCCUUUAAGUCUGAUGUGAAAUCACGUGGCUCAACCACGUGCGGUCAUUGGAAACUGGAGGACUUGAGUGCA
RNAcentral lists this ribosomal RNA (610 nucleotides) under uncultured bacterium. RNAcentral's name for it is "bacterial SSU rRNA". It matches the Rfam family "Bacterial small subunit ribosomal RNA", at positions 61 to 650 of the family's 1533-position model. The record is from RNAcentral.